AUGUCUCAUUACUCAGAACCUCCUGUACGUUAUUCACAUCCUUACCAGCAGGGGUAUAGAUAUACCCCACUCCUAGACACACAAGCUCAGCCACAGCCAUAUUCUGCACCAUUCCCUUCUACUGUACAGCCAGCUCAAGUUCCAAGCAUGGUGGAGAUGGCUAUUGCCUCCUCUUAUGGAAUACCUAAGCCUAAAAUCAUUCAUUUCACUAAAGGGAAGGAGAGUGAUUUUGCUCUAUUAAAGAAGGGACUUGAUGGCAUUCUGGGCCCACAUCUCCAUUUAACGGAGUACUAUAAAUUCCAAGUGUUACUUGAUCAUCUCAAAUUACCAGCUGCCUUUCAAAUAGCUAAGAGAUACAAGCAUGACCCCAUGCCUUAUACCAGAGCCAUGCAAGCUUUGCAGCAGCGUAAUGGACAGCCCAGACAACUGGUACGGGGAGAAAUCGGUAACAUUCUCCGCACACCUCCAUUGAAACCAGGGGAUGCUCAAGGUUUUGAGGACUUUGCGUUGUCAGUUAGUACUCUUGUUGGCCUCCUUAAUACAUUGGAGGGUUCAUCCAAGACUGAACUUAUGUGUGGUUCCCAUGUUGAUAGGUUGCUCACUAAACUUCCAUCCUCUCAAAGGGAUAGUUUUGUUGAAUACUGCAUAAACAAAGGUAUUAUCCAGAAUGGGACUGACAAAACCUACACUCUUCCUGAGUUUGCAGAGUGGCUCGAAAGAAAAUCACAAGCACUUCAGAUAUCAAGGAGAGCAGCUGAUCUCUAUAGUUCAGAUAGACCUCGCUCUGAUAAUCGAGAACAGAAAACUCUGAAGCCACCAAAGGUACAGUCCACAAUCUACUAUGGCAUAGAUCAUGCUACAGAAAAGCCAUCAGACACAUUGUUCCAGGCGAAGAAAGAGCAGACAAAAGCCAAGAAACGGGAAAGCUUUAAGCCCUACUGCCCCUUCUGCAAAUGCCAACAGCAUUACCUCAACUCUUGUCCUGAGUUUGGUAAACUAAACAUUGCUCAAAUAACAGCAUGGAUAAAGGACAACAACAGAUGCUGCAAAUGUGGUAGAGGUCAUGAGCCUGCAAACUGCACCCUGAAAAAGCCAUGUCCCACUUGUGGUGAACAACACUUGUCAGUUAUUCAUGAAACCGGAUCCAACAUCAACAAGGGCAUCCUUACUGUGAAUACAGUACCCCGUACAGUUUACCUUGAUAAAGUAACUCACUCAGGUCAGACUUCAUAG
RNAcentral lists this long non-coding RNA (1233 nucleotides) under Carassius auratus (goldfish). Its description in RNAcentral is "lncRNA (ENSCARG00000031950.1)". The record is from RNAcentral. Lineage: Eukaryota; Metazoa; Chordata; Actinopteri; Cypriniformes; Cyprinidae.